RNAcentral lists this ribosomal RNA (301 nucleotides) under uncultured bacterium. RNAcentral describes it as "partial 16S ribosomal RNA". It matches the Rfam family "Bacterial small subunit ribosomal RNA", at positions 509 to 807 of the family's 1533-position model. The record is from RNAcentral.
CAGUAGCCGCGGGAAUACGUAGGGUGCAAGCGUUAAUCGGAAUUACUGGGCGUAAAGCGUGCGCAGGCGGUUAUAUAAGACAGAUGUGAAAUCCCCGGGCUCAACCUGGGAACUGCAUUUGUGACUGUAUAGCUAGAGUACGGCAGAGGGGGAUGGAAUUCCGCGUGUAGCAGUGAAAUGCGUAGAUAUGCGGAGGAACACCAAUGGCGAAGGCAAUCCCCUGGGCCUGUACUGACGCUCAUGCACGAAAGCGUGGGGAGCAAACAGGAUUAGAUACCCCCGUAGUCCCUGUCUCUUAUAC